This 450-nucleotide ribosomal RNA is filed under the name uncultured bacterium. RNAcentral's name for it is "partial 16S ribosomal RNA". It matches the Rfam family "Bacterial small subunit ribosomal RNA", at positions 354 to 796 of the family's 1533-position model. The record is from RNAcentral.
GUGGGGAAUCUUCCGCAAUGGACGAAAGUCUGACGGAGCAACGCCGCGUGAGUGAUGAAGGUCUUCGGAUUGUAAAGCUCUGUUAAUCGGGACGAAAGAGCCUAGUGUGAAUAAUGCUAGGAAGUGACGGUACCGGAAUAGAAAGCCACGGCUAACUACGUGCCAGCAGCCGCGGUAAUACGUAGGUGGCAAGCGUUGUCCGGAAUUAUUGGGCGUAAAGCGCGCGCAGGCGGAUCUGCCAGUCUGUCUUAAAAGUUCGGGGCUUAACCCCGUGAUGGGAUGGAAACUACAGAUCUAGAGUAUCGGAGAGGAAAGUGGAAUUCCUAGUGUAGAGGUGAAAUGCGUAGAUAUUAGGAAGAACACCAGUGGCGAAGGCGACUUUCUGGACGAAAACUGACGCUGAGGCGCGAAAGCCAGGGGAGCGAACGGGAUUAGAAACCCGAGUAGUCC